This 292-nucleotide ribosomal RNA is filed under the name uncultured bacterium. RNAcentral describes it as "partial 16S ribosomal RNA". It matches the Rfam family "Bacterial small subunit ribosomal RNA", at positions 335 to 643 of the family's 1533-position model. The record is from RNAcentral.
UUUCCUACGGGGGGCAGCAGUGGGGAAUAUUGCACAAUGGGGGAAACCCUGAUGCAGCAACGCCGCGUGAGUGAAGAAGUAUUUCGGUAUGUAAAGCUCUAUCAGCAGGGAAGAAGAAAGACGGUACCUGACUAAGAAGCCCCGGCUAACUACGUGCCAGCAGCCGCGGUAAUACGUAGGGGGCAAACGUUAUCCGGAUUUACUGGGUGUAAAAGGAGCGUAGACGGCCAGACAAGUCAGAAGUGAAAACCCGCGGCUCAACUGCGGGAGUGCUUUUGAAACUGUUUGGCUG